UAGGGAAUCUUCCACAAUGGACGAAAGUCUGAUGGAGCAACGCCGCGUGAGUGAAGAAGGUUUCGGCUCGUAAAACUCUGUUGUUAAAGAAGAACAUAUCUGAGAGUAACUGUUCAGGUAUUGACGGUAUUUAACCAGAAAGCCACGGCUAACUACGUGCCAG
RNAcentral lists this ribosomal RNA (163 nucleotides) under uncultured bacterium. Its description in RNAcentral is "partial 16S rRNA". It matches the Rfam family "Bacterial small subunit ribosomal RNA", at positions 355 to 511 of the family's 1533-position model. The record is from RNAcentral.